CAAAAGGAAAAAGCAAGGCUGUGGGAAAGAAAGCUCCGUCGUCUUAGCCACGGCCCCAACGACCUGCCUCCCAUGAGGCUUUGUGCAGGCUGGCUAAUGCGCAAGCGAGCUUGGCAGAGCUGGCCGACAAUCCUCGUGUCCUCGGUGCUGCACUGCUCCAGUAGUUACAGAAAUUAGCCACAUCGACAAUCACCCACUGCCUGCUAUCAGAGCCGCGCUAUCCACUGCACAAACAGCAACUGCAGACACCAUCAGGUCCUGCAGCUGCUUCGGCUUGUUCUUGGAGGAAGUACCUGGCCAACAGACUCUGAUCACACGUCCGAAGAAACGGACUCCUCGCCUUGCUUUGAGACGACAAGUCCCAUGCACACGAAAGACAGUUAUGCUCUUCCUGUAUGCAGUGUGACCAUACUGAAUCCUCCAUUCCUCUUAUCCGUGCUCCGAAUGAACAGUUGUCUUGCUGGCAGAGGGAUGGUGAUGACAAUAGACUCCGCCCAGCGCUGAGAGGGGGAGUGGCCGAGAGAAGGAAGUGAAACUGAAAUGAGGAGCCUGUGGGCUGAGAGGCGAGCAAAAAGAAGGAAAGACAGUGGUGAUUCUGAAGGGAGAGAAAACUGAAGUCGGCUUCGAGCGGAGGUCAUCGACAGGUUCAACCAGCAUCUAACGACGGAGCCGCUGACGGUCCCUGCUCACCUCAUGGCUCGACGACGUCUUGGAAUCCCAUGGAUCCAGCCUGCCGGAGCCCAACACCCCGAUUUGGCCUUGUCUGGUGAACAGGCCGGGCCUGGACUUGUAUGCUGGACCUUGUGAAAAGCCAGCUGGAGCAUACCACCGUGGAUCUUUCGCUCUGGUGCAGUCGACCUCGCAGGGUCUGAACGUGCGAGAGUGUGUGCGUGAGGUCUGCUAUUAAUGGACGACGCCUCCAUUUUGCCACGCGGCGUGCUCGAGCUUGGGGGCUCGAAUUCGUGGACAUCGGCUUGUCACGAGCCACAUUCGUGCUGUUGACACUUUCCUCUCGUCCAUGAAACAUCACCAAGUACUCUGUCUUGUCGGCAUGCUGUCCAUGUCUUGUCUGCAUGUCGUUAAAGCUUUUCUCAUUCGAGUUCUCUUCGAAACCCAUAAUCCGUAGCUCCCUAGUUAAAAACGGGUUAUAGAUUAAUUAUAACAUUGUCGUGAAUGUUUUGCUUGUGUCAUGUUCCCCGAUGUCCCCAAUAAAUCUGGCUGAUUCGUAUGAAGUUGCCGCUUUGAAUUGGUCCAUGCCGCGUCGAGGAACGAUUCGCUCGAUUUGGAUAUAAAAAAGAAAAUGGUUACAGACUGGUAGACUCCGCUCGGUCUCUGACAAAACCAGUCUGUAACCGGGGUCUAUUUCCCCAGCUGGCAAGGUACAGGUGUAUUUUGGUACCGUGAUUCGAGAUGCGUAACCCGAGAACUGUGCUGCACCAGCCAGAAUUAUAACCCCGGAGACGGCGGUGGUUGGGUGCGAAAACCCAAACUGGGUACGGACGGCGAUUGACGCGCUCGUCUGAGAACCCUCCACCCCGGAUCUGCA
Molecule: long non-coding RNA, 1546 nt
Filed under: Eptatretus burgeri (inshore hagfish)
Lineage: Eukaryota; Metazoa; Chordata; Myxini; Myxiniformes; Myxinidae
Description: lncRNA (ENSEBUG00000017363.1)
Source: RNAcentral